This is a long non-coding RNA of Juglans microcarpa x Juglans regia, 1334 nucleotides long. RefSeq lists it as uncharacterized. The record is from RefSeq and is a predicted model, not a curated record. The transcript has 3 exons. Lineage: Eukaryota; Viridiplantae; Streptophyta; Magnoliopsida; Fagales; Juglandaceae.
AGGAUGACACCCGCUUAAUGUGACCCGACCCGAACCGACAUAUACCGGGUUGUUAUGUGAUCGAGUUGGAGACCUGACUAUCAAUGGGUUUUUUAUAUUGCUCUCAACCUGCCCGAAUAUAAAUAUCAACUUAUCUUCAGGCUUCAAUUUUCAAUUUCUCAGACUCAAGCUCUAGUUGCCACUGCUUCUUUCUCAGCCUCUUAAGUUGUGGGUUGUGUCUUUCGGACAAGCACUGGCCGAGAUCUAAGAUGGAGUGUGAUCAGAGAGAUGGGGUCGCGGUGGACUUUUCUCCUUGCAGCAACAAAGCGCUGAAAUGGGUUCUCUAAGAAGAAGACGCUCAAUGUUUGAGUUGCUUGUGCUUACACCCCCAUGUCCAAUUGGAAAGACUUUCGCUACUUUCUUAGACUUAGAUUUACAAGGUAUCAAUUUCAUGUGAUUUUCAUAUUAAACAUACAAAGAUUGGAAUGAAAUGUAAACCAUAAAGGACCAUCAUUCGAAAAAAUUUCAAGGAAACUCUGGGAUGGAUUCCACUUUCAUCAGUGAAGCCAUCGCUGCUUGCAUCGUGUUCAUAAAGAAGAUUGCCGACGAGGAGAACUGCAACUCUUCUACAAAGCUGAACUUCGCAUUUUUUGUUUUUUGGAAUAUUUUCUUGCGAUUGAGGUUCUGAGCUUGAUAAUUUGGUAUUAUGAUUAGAUCUGAGAUAUAGAUGAUAGAAAUAUUUUGUAAAUCAAUGUGGAUGUACAGAAUGUAUAUAUAUAUAUAUAUAUAUAUUUUUUUUUUUGCCCGCUUUGGUGAAGGUCGGGUUGCACGGGCUCGACCCAAUUUUGGUUUGUUUGGGUCAGUUCGGUUUGGGUUGGCGCCUUGGAUGGUCCCGUUCGGGUCAGAUUAGGUGCAAACCCGGUUGUCUGAGGUUGGGUUGCAGGCCUAGUAUAUGCAACCUUCAAAGCCGUUUAUGAUUUGGCUGGACCAUUCUUAAACCUGCCAGCAAUGGACAAGCUUUUUUCUUUGUUCGCAAAAGUUCCGGAGACUUAAUCCAAGAAAGGGUGUUGAUGCUAGAGAAGAUAUCUUUGGUGCUUAUAGAAUUUUAAUCUGUACGUGUUUAUUUGGGGUAUAUAGAAUGAAGAAUUGCUAUAGCAGUUGGACUUAGGCAAGGGCAAAUUACACUUACCGAUAAGUGAAUGUUGCUGUCUGACUGAGGUACUGUGAAGGGAGUACGUUGUCCCCAUGGUGCCGUGUGUAAGUUAUAACCGUGUGAGGUUGUCUCUCUAGUUAAGGCUUGUGCAAGUCUGAUGUAUCCUAUUUCGAUAGGAUUGUCUGGUUCACUACAUUGUAAA